RNAcentral lists this ribosomal RNA (415 nucleotides) under uncultured bacterium. RNAcentral's name for it is "partial 16S ribosomal RNA". It matches the Rfam family "Bacterial small subunit ribosomal RNA", at positions 360 to 774 of the family's 1533-position model. The record is from RNAcentral.
AAUAUUGCGCAAUGGAGGGAACUCUGACGCAGCGACGCCGCGUGAGCGAUGAAGGUUUUCGGAUCGUAAAGCUCUGUCCUUGGGGAAGAAAGCGGCCAUUUAUGGCCACUUGACGGUACCCAAGGAGGAAGCCCCGGCUAACUACGUGCCAGCAGCCGCGGUAAUACGUAGGGGGCAAGCGUUAUCCGGAAUUAUUGGGCGUAAAGCGCGCGCAGGCGGUUUCUUAAGUCUGAUGUGAAAGCCCACGGCUCAACCGUGGAGGGUCAUUGGAAACUGGGAAGCUUGAGUGCAGAAGAGGAGAGUGGAAUUCCAUGUGUAGCGGUGAAAUGCGUAGAGAUAUGGAGGAACACCAGUGGCGAAGGCGACUCUCUGGUCUGCAACUGACGCUGAGGCGCGAAAGCGUGGGGAGCGAACA